RNAcentral lists this ribosomal RNA (237 nucleotides) under Triticum aestivum (bread wheat). RNAcentral describes it as "partial small subunit ribosomal RNA". The record is from RNAcentral. Lineage: Eukaryota; Viridiplantae; Streptophyta; Magnoliopsida; Poales; Poaceae.
AUGGGAGUCCUCAAGGUUCGAAGCCUACUAUGCUUGCUAUUUAUCAUGCUAAUCCUCUUGGUUCCUGGCUCUGAUGCCAAGACUUGCAAGGAGGCUAGCGAGAGAUAUACCAAAGAUUGCAGUGAUUAUCCAUGUGUUUCGGCCUGCCACAAGGAGGGAUUUGUUGAUGGGAAGUGUGAGAUGCUCUGGGCAAGACCCGUUAUUCUCAGAUGUUUCUGCAUAUCGAAUUCUUGCUGA